GAAAGGGGGAGAGAGGAUCCAUGUGAUCUCUGACUCCCCCAUUAACACCAUGCACCAACGGAUCUUUUAAGAAAAGGAUAAAAGAAGAAAACAAAAAUUCUCCUCUUUUUCCACCUGACUAUACGUUACCUCCCUCACACACUCACCUAUUACCACUCAUAACUACCUACUACCCUAUCUCUCUCUAUCCACUCAAAAUCACUCUCUCUGAGAAACAAAAAAAAGGAAAAAAG
This 233-nucleotide long non-coding RNA is filed under the name Lathyrus oleraceus (garden pea). RNAcentral's name for it is "Pisum sativum (pea) long non-coding RNA (PSAT_LNC027506)". Lineage: Eukaryota; Viridiplantae; Streptophyta; Magnoliopsida; Fabales; Fabaceae. The record is from RNAcentral.